UUAACUGCCCGUACCGCAAACCGACACAGGUAGUUGAGGAGAGAAUCCUAAGGUGUGCGAGAGAACUCUCGUUAAGGAACUCGGCAAAAUGACCCCGUAACUUCGGGAGAAGGGGUGCUGACCGCAAGGUCAGCCGCAGUGAAUAGGCCCAAGCGACUGUUUAUCAAAAACACAGGUCUCUGCAAAAUCGAAAGAUGACGUAUAGGGGCUGACGCCUGCCCGGUGCUGGAAGGUUAAGAGGAGAGGUUAGCGCAAGCGAAGCUUUGAAUUGAAGCCCCAGUAAACGGCGGCCGUAACUAUAACGGUCCUAAGGUAGCGAAACUCCUUGUCGGGUAAGUUCCGACCCGCACGAAAGGCGUAACGAUUUGGGCACUGUCUCAACGAGAGACUCGGUGAAAUUAUAGUACCAGUGAAGAUGCUGGUUACCCGCGACAGGACGGAAAGACCCCAUGGAGCUUUACUGCAGUUUGAUAUUGCGUGUUUGUAUCACAUGUACAGGAUAGGUAGGAGCCGAAGAUACCGGGACGCCAGUCUCGGAGGAGGCAACGGUGGGAUACUACCCUUGUGAUAUGACCACUCUAACCCGCUGCUCUUAGCGAGCAGGGAGACAGUGUCAGACGGGCAGUUUGACUGGGGCGGUCGCCUCCAAAAAUGUAACGGAGGCGCCCAAAGGUUCCCUCAGAAUGGUUGGAAAUCAUUCGUAGAGUGUAAAGGCAGAAGGGAGCUUGACUGCGAGACCUACAAGUCGAGCAGGGACGAAAGUCGGGCUUAGUGAUCCGGUGGUUCCGCAUGGAAGGGCCAUCGCUCAACGGAUAAAAGCUACCCUGGGGAUAACAGGCUUAUCUCCCCCAAGAGUUCACAUCGACGGGGAGGUUUGGCACCUCGAUGUCGGCUCAUCGCAUCCUGGGGCUGUAGUCGGUCCCAAGGGUUGGGCUGUUCGCCCAUUAAAGCGGUACGCGAGCUGGGUUCAGAACGUCGUGAGACAGUUCGGUCCCUAUCCGUCGCGGGCGUUGGAAAUUUGAGAGGAGCUGUCCUUAGUACGAGAGGACCGGGAUGGACACACCGCUGGUGUACCAGUUGUUCUGCCAAGAGCAUCGCUGGGUAGCUAUGUGUGGACGGGAUAAACGCUGAAAGCAUCUAAGCGUGAAGCCCCCCUCAAGAUGAGAUUUCCCAUCACUUUAAGUGAGUAAGACCCCUGAGAGAUGAUCAGGUAGAUAGGUUGGGAGUGGAAGUACAGCGAUGUAUGGAGCGGACCAAUACUAAUCGGUCGAGGACUUAACU
Molecule: ribosomal RNA, 1281 nt
Filed under: metagenome
Description: bacterial LSU rRNA
Rfam family: Bacterial large subunit ribosomal RNA
Source: RNAcentral